This 1387-nucleotide ribosomal RNA is filed under the name metagenome. Its description in RNAcentral is "bacterial SSU rRNA". It matches the Rfam family "Bacterial small subunit ribosomal RNA". The record is from RNAcentral.
AGAGUUUGAUCCUGGCUCAGGAUGAACGCUGGCGGCGUGCUUAACACAUGCAAGUCGAACGAUCCUUCGGGAUAGUGGCGGACGGGUGAGUAACGCGUGGGAAUCUGCCCUCAGGAGGGGGAUAACGGCUGGAAACGGCCGCUAAUACCCCAUAUGCCGAGAGGUGAAAUGAAUUUCGCCUGAGGAUGAGCCCGCGUCUGAUUAGCUAGUUGGUGGGGUAAAGGCCUACCAAGGCGACGAUCAGUAGCUGGUCUGAGAGGAUGAUCAGCCACACUGGGACUGAGACACGGCCCAGACUCCUACGGGAGGCAGCAGUGGGGAAUUUUCCGCAAUGGGCGAAAGCCUGACGGAGCAACGCCGCGUGAGGGAUGAAGGCCUCUGGGCUGUAAACCUCUUUUCUCAAGGAAGAAGAACUGACGGUACUUGAGGAAUAAGCCACGUCUAAUUCCGUGCCAGCAGCCGCGGUAAUACGGGAGUGGCAAGCGUUAUCCGGAAUUAUUGGGCGUAAAGCGUCCGCAGGCGGCCUUGUAAGUCUGUUGUUAAAGCGUGGAGCUCAACUCCAUUUAAGCAAUGGAAACUACAAGGCUGGAGUGUGGUAGGGGCAGAGGGAAUUCCCGGUGUAGCGGUGAAAUGCGUAGAUAUCGGGAAGAACACCAGUGGCGAAGGCGCUCUGCUGGGCCAUAACUGACGCUCAUGGACGAAAGCCAGGGGAGCGAAAGGGAUUAGAUACCCCUGUAGUCCUGGCCGUAAACGAUGAACACUAGGUGUCGGGGGAAUCGACCCCCUCGGUGUCGUAGCCAACGCGUUAAGUGUUCCGCCUGGGGAGUACGCACGCAAGUGUGAAACUCAAAGGAAUUGACGGGGGCCCGCACAAGCGGUGGAGUAUGUGGUUUAAUUCGAUGCAACGCGAAGAACCUUACCAGGGUUUGACAUCCUGCGAAUCCCUUGGAAACGAGGGAGUGCCUUCGGGAGCGCAGUGACAGGUGGUGCAUGGCUGUCGUCAGCUCGUGUCGUGAGAUGUUGGGUUAAGUCCCGCAACGAGCGCAACCCACGUCUUUAGUUGCCAGCAUUCAGUUGGGCACUCUAGAGAGACCGCCGGUGAUAAACCGGAGGAAGGUGUGGAUGACGUCAAGUCAUCAUGCCCCUUACAUCCUGGGCUACACACGUACUACAAUGCUACGGACAAAGGGCAGCAAGCUCGCGAGAGUUAGCAAAUCCCAUAAACCGUGGCUCAGUUCAGAUCGUAGGCUGCAACUCGCCUACGUGAAGGAGGAAUCGCUAGUAAUCGCAGGUCAGCAUACUGCGGUGAAUACGUUCCCGGGCCUUGUACACACCGCCCGUCACACCAUGGAAGUUGGCCAUGCCCGAAGUCGUUACUCCAACCCCU